CUACGGGGGGCUCCAGUGGGGAAUAUUGCACAAUGGGCGCAAGCCUGAUGCAGCCAUGCCGCGUGUAUGAAGAAGGCCUUCGGGUUGUAAAGUACUUUCAGCGGGGAGGAAGGGAGUAAAGUUAAUACCUUUGCUCAUUGACGUUACCCGCAGAAGAAGCACCGGCUAACUCCGUGCCAGCAGCCGCGGUAAUACGGAGGGUACAAGCGUUAAUCGGAAUUACUGGGCGUAAAGCGCACGCAGGCGGUUUGUUAAGUCAGAUGUGAAAUCCCCGGGCUCAACCUGGGAACUGCAUCUGAUACUGGCAAGCUUGAGUCUCGUAGAGGGGGGUAGAAUUCCAGGUGUAGCGGUGAUAUGCGUAGAGAUCUGGAGGAAUACCGGUGGCGAAGGCGGCCCCCUGGACGAAGACUGACGCUCAGGUGCGAAAGCGUGGGGAGCAAACAGGAUUAAAUACCCGAGUAGUC
RNAcentral lists this ribosomal RNA (464 nucleotides) under uncultured bacterium. Its description in RNAcentral is "partial 16S ribosomal RNA". It matches the Rfam family "Bacterial small subunit ribosomal RNA", at positions 339 to 795 of the family's 1533-position model. The record is from RNAcentral.